UACGUAGGGGGCAAGCGUUGUCCGGAAUCAUUGGGCGUAAAGAGCGUGUAGGCGGCCAGAAAAGUCCGCUGUGAAAACUCGAGGCUCAACUUCGAGCUGUCGGUGGAAACUUUCUGGCUAGAGUCCGGAAGAGGAGAAUGGAAUUCCUGGUGUAGCGGUGAAAUGCGCGGAUAUCAGGAAGAACACCCGUGGCGAAGGCGGUUCUCUGGGACGGUACUGACGCUGAGACGCGAAAGCGUGGGGAGCGAACAGG
This 253-nucleotide ribosomal RNA is filed under the name uncultured bacterium. RNAcentral describes it as "partial 16S ribosomal RNA". It matches the Rfam family "Bacterial small subunit ribosomal RNA", at positions 524 to 776 of the family's 1533-position model. The record is from RNAcentral.